GACGAACGCUGGCGGCGUGCUUAACACAUGCAAGUCGAACGGAAAGGCCCUGCUUGCAGGGUGCUCGAGUGGCGAACGGGUGAGUAACACGUGGGUGAUCUGCCCCUUACUUUGGGAUAAGCCUGGGAAACUGGGUCUAAUACUGGAUAGGACCAUGCUGUAGGUGGUGUGGUGGAAAGAUUAGUUUCGGUAAGGGAUGAGCUCGCGGCCUAUCAGCUUGUUGGUGGGGUAAUGGCCUACCAAGGCGUCGACGGGUAGCCGGCCUGAGAGGGUGGACGGCCACAUUGGGACUGAGAUACGGCCCAGACUCCUACGGGAGGCAGCAGUGGGGGAAUAUUGCACAAUGGGCGCCAGCUUGAUGCANCGACGCCCCGUGGGGGAUGACCGCCUUCNGGUUGUAAACUCCUUUCAGCCUGACAAACCCCUGUGGUGGACGGAGUGUAAAAAAACCACCGGCUAACUACGUGCCAACACCCCGGUAAUACUUAGGGGCGAACGUUUCCGGAAUUAUGGGGGUAAAAAACUCCUAAGGGGUCUUCCCCUCUUUUUAAAAUCCGGGGUUUAUUCCGGGUUGGCAGGUGAUACGGGCAUGACUGGAGUACUGUAGGGGAGACUGGAAUUCCUGGUGUAGCGGUGAAAUGCGCAGAUAUCAGGAGGAACACCGGUGGCGAAGGCGGGUCUCUGGGCAGUAACUGACGCUGAGGAGCGAAAGCAUGGGUAGCGAACAGGAUUAGAUACCCUGGUAGUCCAUGCCGUAAACGGUGGGCGCUAGGUGUGGGUUUCCUUCCACGGGAUCCGUGCCGUAGCUAACGCAUUAAGCGCCCCGCCUGGGGAGUACGGCCGCAAGGCUAAAACUCAAAGGAAUUGACGGGGGCCCGCACAAGCGGCGGAGCAUGUGGAUUAAUUCGAUGCAACGCGAAGAACCUUACCUGGGCUUGACAUGCACUGGAUGCGGCCAGAGAUGGUUGUUCCCUUUGUGGCUGGUGUGCAGGUGGUGCAUGGUUGUCGUCAGCUCGUGUCGUGAGAUGUUGGGUUAAGUCCCGCAACGAGCGCAGCCCUUGUCUCGUGUUGCCAGCAUUUGGUUGGGGACUCGCGGGAGACUGCCGGGGUUAACUCGGAGGAAGGUGGGGAUGACGUCAAAUCAUCAUGCCCCUUAUGUCCAGGGCUUCACACAUGCUACAAUGGCUGGUACAGAGAGUUGCGAUACCGUGAGGUGGGGCUAAUCUCGUAAAGCCAGUCUCAGUUCGGAUUGGAGUCUGCAACUCGACUCCAUGAAGUCGGAGUCGCUAGUAAUCGCAGAUCAGCAAUGCUGCGGUGAAUACGUUCCCGGGCCU
RNAcentral lists this ribosomal RNA (1334 nucleotides) under uncultured bacterium. Its description in RNAcentral is "bacterial SSU rRNA". It matches the Rfam family "Bacterial small subunit ribosomal RNA", at positions 28 to 1381 of the family's 1533-position model. The record is from RNAcentral.